GGUUGCUAGGGCGGCACAUAUUCGGAAGCGAUGGAGUUAGUAAACUGGAUACAAAUUCUACUUCCGGGAAUUCAGGACAUCCAUUAUAGGAACCCAAGGAUGAACUUAAACAGCUGGCACAUUGAUUUGAAGAUAUAUUAGCUUUGCAUUGAGAGGCACCAUAGACUUUAUCUGAGUUAUUCCCAUAACUUGAGGUAUAGAAUCCAUGUU
This 210-nucleotide long non-coding RNA is filed under the name Helianthus annuus (common sunflower). Its description in RNAcentral is "sRNA HanXRQr2_Chr12g0559951". Lineage: Eukaryota; Viridiplantae; Streptophyta; Magnoliopsida; Asterales; Asteraceae. The record is from RNAcentral.